Molecule: ribosomal RNA, 253 nt
Filed under: uncultured bacterium
Lineage: Bacteria
Description: partial 16S ribosomal RNA
Rfam family: Bacterial small subunit ribosomal RNA
Source: RNAcentral
UACGUAGGGGGCAAGCGUUAUCCGGAUUUAUUGGGCGUAAAGAGCUCGUAGGCGGCCGUUCGCGUCGGCUGUGAAAGCUCAGGGCUCAACUCUGAGAUGCCAUUCGAUACGGGACGGCUAGAGGUAGGUAGGGGAGAGUGGAAUUCCUGGUGUAGCGGUGAAAUUCGUAGAUAUUGGGAAGAACACCAGUGGCGAAGGCGGCUCACUGGCCCGUAACUGACGCUGAGGUGCGAAAGCGUGGGGAGCAAACAGG